RNAcentral lists this long non-coding RNA (260 nucleotides) under Callithrix jacchus (white-tufted-ear marmoset). RNAcentral's name for it is "lncRNA (ENSCJAG00000076086.1)". Lineage: Eukaryota; Metazoa; Chordata; Mammalia; Primates; Cebidae. The record is from RNAcentral.
AACUGGUGAACUGGCAGUUAUUCUCAGGACAGUUCAACUUCCCACUGUGCCAGGUACUGCCUGGCGCUGUCCCUUGGUGGGGGCUGGAGUGUGCAUUUUUUGGACCUCAUUAUUUUUAAAAUACUGCCACUUCCUGUCUUCUUUUAAAAUUCUGAUCAGAGGGAGAGAACUCAAGAUGGCGCUGUGAGAACAACCCAGGAUUGGAGCUCUCAUUGAAUCUGCAAAGAGAUGGAGUUUCAUUUUUUUUGCCCAGGAUCUAG